RNAcentral lists this ribosomal RNA (480 nucleotides) under uncultured bacterium. Its description in RNAcentral is "partial 16S ribosomal RNA". It matches the Rfam family "Bacterial small subunit ribosomal RNA", at positions 29 to 523 of the family's 1533-position model. The record is from RNAcentral.
AGUGAACGCUGGCGGUAGGCCUAACACAUGCAAGUCGAGCGAUGAAGUUACUUCGGUAAUGAAUUAGCGGCGAACGGGUGAGGAACACGUGAGGAAUCUGCCAUUCACUCUGGGAUAACACCGGGAAACCGGUGCUAAUACCGGAUAUAUAAAUUUUGCGGCAUCGCAGAAUUUAGAAAGUUUUUCGGUGAAUGAUGACCUCGCGGCCUAUCAGCUUGUUGGUGAGGUAAUGGCUCACCAAGGCGACGACGGGUAGCCGGCCUGGGAGGGCGACCGGCCACACUGGGACUGAGACACGGCCCAGACUCCUACGGGAGGCAGCAGUGGGGAAUAUUGGGCAAUGGAGGAAACUCUGACCCAGCGACGCCGCGUGAGGGAUGAAGGCCUUCGGGUUGUAAACCUCUUUCAGUAGGGAAGAAGCGAAAGUGACGGUACCUAAAGAAGAAGCACCGGCUAACUAUGUGCCAGCCGCCGCGGUAA